Molecule: ribosomal RNA, 253 nt
Filed under: uncultured bacterium
Lineage: Bacteria
Description: partial 16S ribosomal RNA
Rfam family: Bacterial small subunit ribosomal RNA
Source: RNAcentral
UACGUAGGGGGCGAGCGUUGUCCGGAUUUAUUGGGCGUAAAGAGCGUGUAGGCGGCUUUGCAGGUCCGCUGUGAAAACUCGAGGCUCAACCUCGAGCUGUCGGUGGAAACCGUGGAGCUAGAGUCCGGAAGAGGAGAGUGGAAUUCCUGGUGUAGCGGUGGAAUGCGCAGAUAUCAGGAGGAACACCAAUAGCGAAGGCAGCUCGCUGGGACGUUACUGACACUGAGGCGCGAAAGCGUGGGGAGCGAACAGG